This 454-nucleotide ribosomal RNA is filed under the name Metacarcinus magister (Dungeness crab). RNAcentral's name for it is "partial 12S small subunit ribosomal RNA". Lineage: Eukaryota; Metazoa; Arthropoda; Malacostraca; Decapoda; Cancridae. The record is from RNAcentral.
AAAGGUGGAAUUAAAUUUGUUUUUAUUGAAGAAAAGUACUUUUGCUGAAGCUGAUGAAAUUUAGGUUAAAACUAGGAUUAGAUACCCUACUAUUCUAAAGAAGAAAAAUAUUACCAUAAUAUUAAUAGCUAUAGGCUUUAAAUUUGAAGAAUUUGGCGGUGAUUUAAUCUUAUCAGAGGAACCUGCUUUUUAAUCGAUACACCACGAAAUAUCUUACUUGAGUUUGUAUACCAUCAUUAGCAGAUAAUUUUAAAAAGAAAAAUUAUUACGAUUAUAGUUUUAAAUAUAACAAAAUUAGAUCAAGGUGCAGCUUAUAAAUAAGUUAAAGUGGGUUACAAUAAAUUUUAUUUAUAGACGGAUAAAUAAAUAGGAAGGAGGAUUUGAUUGUAAUGGCGAGUUUAAUAUGCUCGAGAGAUAUAAGUUCUAAAUCAUGUACAUAUCGCCCGUCGCUUUC